Molecule: ribosomal RNA, 253 nt
Filed under: uncultured bacterium
Lineage: Bacteria
Also listed under: 1 other name
Description: partial 16S ribosomal RNA
Rfam family: Bacterial small subunit ribosomal RNA
Source: RNAcentral
UACGGAGGGAGCUAGCGUUAUUCGGAAUUACUGGGCGUAAAGCGCACGUAGGCGGCUUUGUAAGUUAGAGGUGAAAGCCUGGAGCUCAACUCCAGAAUUGCCUUUAAGACUGCAUCGCUCGAAUCCAGGAGAGGUGAGUGGAAUUCCGAGUGUAGAGGUGAAAUUCGUAGAUAUUCGGAAGAACACCAGUGGCGAAGGCGGCUCACUGGACUGGUAUUGACGCUGAGGUGCGAAAGCGUGGGGAGCAAACAGG